GGAUCUUGCAAUUUUGCGUCUUCUUCUGCUUUUUUAAUUAUUAUUACAAUAUUACUUAUAUUUUACAAAUGGGACCAAUCCAUCGACAACAUUUUUAUUUGAGGAGCGAUUUGUCUUACUAGCCUAGGUCUAGAUGCUUCCUAGCAAGUAGUGCAAGUUGGUGUAGAGAUUUUUAGAUAUCGGACCGAGCUUGUUGAAUAUGGGUUGUUCGCUUGUUAAGUGCACCACGGCUCACUAGUUGUAUGGGACAGUCCACUGCUAAGCAUAUUCUACUGUUAGAUGGACUUUUACUGAGCGUAUCCGUACGCGCCAAUUUAGUCUUUGUUGGUGAUAAAUUUGAGCAGCCUGUGACAUAUCAGUACCCUAAGAAACCCCAUUUUUACCAUGCAUGUUAACCCCUUGUUGUCAAACUUUAACACAACAAAGAGUAAGUAAUUCCGUUAGUCUUAU
This 450-nucleotide long non-coding RNA is filed under the name Citrus x clementina. Its description in RNAcentral is "Citrus clementina (C. clementina) long non-coding RNA (CCLE_LNC003859)". Lineage: Eukaryota; Viridiplantae; Streptophyta; Magnoliopsida; Sapindales; Rutaceae. The record is from RNAcentral.